RNAcentral lists this non-coding RNA (30 nucleotides) under Mus musculus (house mouse). Lineage: Eukaryota; Metazoa; Chordata; Mammalia; Rodentia; Muridae. The record is from RNAcentral.
UGGAUCUCUGCUUAUACCAUAUUUUAGGGC